GAUGAACGCUGGCGGCGUGCCUAAUACAUGCAAGUCGAGCGAACAGACGAGGAGCUUGCUCCUCUGACGUUAGCGGCGGACGGGUGAGUAACACGUGGAUAACCUACCUAUAAGACUGGGAUAACUUCGGGAAACCGGAGCUAAUACCGGAUAAUAUAUUGAACCGCAUGGUUCAAUAGUGAAAGACGGUUUUGCUGUCACUUAUAGAUGGAUCCGCGCCGCAUUAGCUAGUUGGUAAGGUAACGGCUUACCAAGGCAACGAUGCGUAGCCGACCUGAGAGGGUGAUCGGCCACACUGGAACUGAGACACGGUCCAGACUCCUAAGGGAGGCAGCAGUAGGGAAUCUUCCGCAAUGGGCGAAAGCCUGACGGAGCAACGCCGCGUGAGCGAUGAAGGUCUUCGGAUCGUAAAACUCUGUUAUUAGGGAAGAACAAAUGUGUAAGUAACUAUGCACGUCUUGACGGUACCUAAUCAGAAAGCCAUGGCUAACUACGUG
Molecule: ribosomal RNA, 497 nt
Filed under: uncultured bacterium
Lineage: Bacteria
Description: partial 16S ribosomal RNA
Rfam family: Bacterial small subunit ribosomal RNA
Source: RNAcentral